GUAUAGGGUAGGCGUAGCGAAAGCGAGUCUUAAUAGGGCGUUUAGUCGCUGGGUAUAGACCCGAAACCGGGCGAUCUAUCCAUGAGCAGGUUGAAGGUUAGGUAACACUGACUGGAGGACCGAACCCACUCCCGUUGAAAAGGUAGGGGAUGACUUGUGGAUCGGAGUGAAAGGCUAAUCAAGCUCGGAGAUAGCUGGUUCUCCUCGAAAGCUAUUUAGGUAGCGCCUCAUGUAUCACUC
Molecule: ribosomal RNA, 240 nt
Filed under: Klebsiella pneumoniae
Lineage: Bacteria; Pseudomonadati; Pseudomonadota; Gammaproteobacteria; Enterobacterales; Enterobacteriaceae
Description: partial 23S ribosomal RNA
Rfam family: Bacterial large subunit ribosomal RNA
Source: RNAcentral